RNAcentral lists this ribosomal RNA (478 nucleotides) under uncultured bacterium. RNAcentral describes it as "partial 16S ribosomal RNA". It matches the Rfam family "Bacterial small subunit ribosomal RNA", at positions 28 to 523 of the family's 1533-position model. The record is from RNAcentral.
GACGAACGCUGGCGGCGUGCUUAACACAUGCAAGUCGAACGGUAAGGCCCUUCGGGGUACACGAGUGGCGAACGGGUGAGUAACACGUGGGUGAUCUGCCCUGCACUUCGGGAUAAGCCUGGGAAACUGGGUCUAAUACCGGAUAGGACUCCGGACUGCAUGGUCUGGGGUGGAAAGCUUUUGCGGUGUGGGAUGGGCCCGCGGCCUAUCAGCUUGUUGGUGGGGUGAUGGCCUACCAAGGCGACGACGGGUAGCCGGCCUGAGAGGGUGACCGGCCACACUGGGACUGAGAUACGGCCCAGACUCCUACGGGAGGCAGCAGUGGGGAAUAUUGCACAAUGGGCGCAAGCCUGAUGCAGCGACGCCGCGUGAGGGAUGACGGCCUUCGGGUUGUAAACCUCUUUCAGCUAUGACGAAGCGCAAAUGACGGUAGUAGCAGAAGAAGGACCGGCCAACUACGUGCCAGCAGCCGCGGUAA